This 2187-nucleotide non-coding RNA is filed under the name Pongo abelii (Sumatran orangutan). The record is from RNAcentral. Lineage: Eukaryota; Metazoa; Chordata; Mammalia; Primates; Hominidae.
UACUUUCUAGCUGAACACUCAGCUUCAUCCACUCCAGGACAGCUGAGCAUCUGGGGCUUCAGAAGCUGAUGGCAUAGUUAUGAGAGGGGUGAAGACCGUGACUGCAUUUCCAACAGACCCUGAGGACAAUUGGGAAGAAUGUUCUGGUGAAACGCAACUCCAUCAACACCUCACCAGUCCGAUCUUAUCCUCUACCUCUUCUCUCAGUGACUCCUUCCUCUCAUAGGAGUAAAACUAGAAAAAAACGAUAGAAUGCGAUUUAUGCUGAUUCCUGGUCAAGCGAACACAAGCCAGCCCACUGAACCAGAAGAAAAGAGUAAUAGAACUCUUGAAAGAGAAGAUAAAAUCCACUGUAUCCAGAUAUUUCUGGGAAAAAAAAAUAAAAACAAACAACUAUUAAAAAUUUAAAAUAACUUUUAGAAAGCUUCCAUUAGUGCUAUGAAAUAGAAAGAGUCUUGGAGAACAGGAUUUGUUCACGUUAAGUUGGGCAAGUCUUCUCUUCCUGGGCUCAGUUUCCUCAUCUGCAGUGCAUGAGGUCAUUGAACUCCAUAAGCCCUAAGGAUCCUUCCGGUUUCAAAACUCCCAUGACGUCUGAUAUAGAACACUUACCUUGACAAAGCUCUUCAAGUCAUUUUCACCUUCACAUAUUGAUUUAUCUGUGUAGUGACAUUUAAAGUGAAUUCUAAUCAGGAAAUAAAAGGCUGAUUUCUUCAGUAGAAGAAAUUGACACAAAAAAAUGUGAAUACAAGAGAGAAACAAAAGCCUGAUUACCAGAAGUCGAUCUAUAGGAUACAGAAUGUGGCAUUGUACAAAGCAGAAAUUCCUUUCUGAAAUUUAAGAAGAAAUCAUUGUAACAUCAGGAAUAAAUAGGAAAAAGGAGAAAGCAUUAAGAUUUUCCAGUCAAGGAGAGAUCUGGAAACAUAAUGAUUUACCUCCUGCCAUAGCAAGCAUGGUAUAGCAAAUUUUAUAAUUUUGGGUAGAUCAAAAUUAUUGUGUGAUGAAGACAUAAUUAAAAAAAGAUUUGACUCUGUCUUUAACAUUGUUUAAGGAAGGUAUUAUUUUCUUAAAAAUCAAGAACAAAUCAAGGACCAAAUAUCUAUAACUAAAGCACAAAUUAAGUGUUCAGAAGAAUAUUGGGGAGAAAAAGCAGAAUGCAAAGGGAAAAAUGCCUUAUGGUAAGAGCACAGGAUUAAUAGUAAAUGAGGAAGAACUAUGACUCCUAAAGAAUUAUAAAUUUUAAAUUGUAUGAAAAAUAAUAUUGGUAAAACAGAAAAACUAAGAGAUAAUUAUAAGUAAAUAAAAAUGAAACAAGAUGUGUUGCCAUUAUUAUUAUAUAUCAGCUGCCCCAGUAAAGCAAUAAUUCAAGGUCAAAUAACUUAGAAUAGUCAGCACCUAAUAGUCUUGGUAAAUAGAGCAGGUCAAUAAAUAUAUAUUGAUCGGUUGAUUGAAUAAGAAAUGCUUGCAGUUAUUUUAGGAAAAUCAAAGUUGCUUAGGAAGUUAUGCAGGUAAUUUCUUAAAACUAAGCAAGUAUAAAUUUCCUUUUGAAACAAUAUAAAAUAAAGUCUUUCCUAAUAGUUACCUUUAAGUCCUAAACAAUGAAAUCUUUUAUAAGAUAAUGUUUAUAUAUAGCAAAAUCUAAAUUGGAAAUAGAUAAAAUGUGGAAAUAUAAAUGUGCUCUGUAGAAAGAAAUUAUAUUUUAUAUCUUUGAUGGUUUUUGAUAGGUGGUUGGAAUAGGGAAAAUUCUGUGUGAACAAUUUACGAAAAAAAUGCUAUACUUUCCUCUAAACCAAUAUUUGGACAUAUAAAUAUUUUCCAACUGGGUUCAGUUUUUGAUAUGGCCAGUCAAAGAUAAUGAUAUGUUAUUUCAAGACCCUAAGUCAAAAUAAAAUUGAUUUGAAAUAGUCUGAAUUAACGAGAUGCCUUCCAUCUUGUAAGUUUCAACAUUGUCAUGUCAAGUGAUAAGAUAAUGAUGGACCUUUCCUUACCAAAUAUUUUACUAAUUAACUUACCAAGCUUGGCCUGUUCAGUCAGUAUAGACACUAUGUGCCGGUGCCUUGGAUACAAAAAUUAGCAAAAUGUGAUUCCUUUAAAUAAUGAACUCAAAACACAUAUCAUUAAAUUUAGAAGUGGUAAGCUUACAGGAAAAAGAAAGAUCUGCUGGGAGUGAAUAAAAGCAAAAAGAAAAAA